AGCAUUUGUUUCGUCACUUCGGGAAGGCUCAGCUGGUUCAUGGCUGGUAUCGUCUGAAUAAGAAAUAAGAAAAAGAAACAAGUUGGAGAAUGCAAUUGGGGAAUGAGCCAAAAGAAGCAUGCAAGGUGAGAGGCAGCCAUCAAACGUGGAGGCAGGAUAGCAAGAUGGGCAAAUAGGCAGAUCCUGGGGAUGAGACAGCAGCAUGUGGGUGAUGUGGAGUUUCUGUUCAGUCACUGGGGUGUGGAAUCAGACAAUGAGGAGGACAGAUGAUGAACUAUGUGGAAGAAAACCUUGAGUUCAAGAGACUAAUGAAAAAGAAACACGAGGCAGAUAUUUGGGGAGUGAGCAAAAGACAGAUCAAGAUAAGGAAAAGAAGAAAAAGAAGACAUGAUCCAAGACAAACUUUUUAUUUCUGUCAUGAAAGAAAUGUAAUAUUUCAAAGAAUAAAGGGUGUGUGAGCAAAAGAAUAUGAUUAUGAAAGAGUGAAAAU
This is a long non-coding RNA of Micropterus salmoides (largemouth bass), 490 nucleotides long. RefSeq lists it as uncharacterized. NCBI's taxonomy places the organism in Eukaryota, Metazoa, Chordata, Actinopteri, Centrarchiformes, Centrarchidae. The transcript has 5 exons. The record is from RefSeq and is a predicted model, not a curated record.